AAAAGCUUCAGAAGUACUCAACCGUGUCCCGACUGAGAGAGCUGGCGUGGAGUGGCUUGCUCCCCUUCGCUUAGAAGAGAGUUCGAGAGGCCGAGAUGUAAUACACUGUAGAUUUUCGCUAUUUUCCCCCUUCGCGGUCCUUUUUCCUGACUCCAUGAAGGUGGCAGUAAGCCCAGUAAGUCACCGCCCCAGAUUUCUUUGGAGAACCUGUCAGGUUCCCAGAACCAGUCCUGGACGGCCUUCCUGCACACAGUCAGCCUCAGAACUGAAGAAAAGCAAUGACGCUUGCACUUGUGUGGUGUGUCACCGUUUAAAAAUAAAGCUUUGGGCUGGCCAAGUAGCGCAUUGGUUAAGAACCGGCUUGGGACGCCAGAGGGCCCCG
Molecule: long non-coding RNA, 382 nt
Organism: Hipposideros armiger (great roundleaf bat)
Lineage: Eukaryota; Metazoa; Chordata; Mammalia; Chiroptera; Hipposideridae
Exons: 3
Source: RefSeq, a predicted model, not a curated record